This is a long non-coding RNA of Ornithodoros turicata, 765 nucleotides long. RefSeq lists it as uncharacterized. The record is from RefSeq and is a predicted model, not a curated record. Lineage: Eukaryota; Metazoa; Arthropoda; Arachnida; Ixodida; Argasidae. The transcript has 3 exons.
GCAAGAUGGCAGCUGCUUCCAUCAGCAAGUGGAAAGUUGAGUUUGAGUUCUAGACUGUACCAGCUGUGUUCAAGUGCAGAGGACAGGACUAUCGCACACCUGUUCGGAAUUGGCCGUUCAACUGUGAACGCGAUUUUCAAGGACUUGUGCCGUGCCGUCAUCCUUUAGAAGCGAUAAAACCCCCGUGCCGGGGAACAAGUCAAAAGACGACACAACACACAGGCACAGUCAUCCUUCACCUUGAACGGCAAUGGAUCUCCAUGGAGCGUCGUUGGAGUUCUACGCCGUCACUGGCUUCCCUCAUGCUGUCGAUACUCUUGACGGUUGCCACUCCCAUCCACCGAAGCUCCACGCCACAGACUACCAUAACCACAACAAAUGCUAUAUUUAUUUUUCUUUGUUAAUUUCCUCAUCAGCUCUGACUAGAGGUACAGUAUGAUACCUUUAGCGCUGUAGACCAUCAGUACAAAUUCAAGGACACCAACAUCGGAAGUUCUAGAAGAUGAACACGUCUACGGGAUGACUUGGUGCUUUGGUCGACGGCGACCACUUCCGGUCACCUGUAGUCACUAUAGAGGGAAUCGUCAUCCCGCCUCUCACAUUAAACUUGUUGAAGCCGUUUACUAAUGUAUACCGAGUGCAACACCGCAAGCGGCUUCUAAUUAUAAUGCUUAUGGGAGGCUCAAGGCCGGUAUUAGACAUGUGAUGAAGAGGACAGAGUGCAUCCAGCAAACUGCGUGCACAUUGCACAACAUAAGUGGGAAC